This 200-nucleotide ribosomal RNA is filed under the name uncultured microorganism. RNAcentral describes it as "partial 16S ribosomal RNA". It matches the Rfam family "Archaeal small subunit ribosomal RNA", at positions 330 to 530 of the family's 1478-position model. The record is from RNAcentral.
GCGCAGCAGGCGAGAAACCUCCGCAAUACACGAAAGUGUGACGGGGCCAUCCCGAGUGCCGUCCGCUGAGGACGGCUUUUCCCCAGUGUACAUAGCUGGGGGAAUAAGGAGAGGGCAAGCCUGGGUGUCAGCCGCCGCGGUAAUACCAGCUCUCCGAGUGGUGGGGACGCUUAUUGGGCCUAAAGCAUCCGUAGCCGGCU